AGUGAACGCUGGCGGUAGGCCUAACACAUGCAAGUCGAACGGCAGCACAGGAGAGCUUGCUCUCUGGGUGGCGAGUGGCGGACGGGUGAGGAAUACAUCGGAAUCUACUCUGUCGUGGGGGAUAACGUAGGGAAACUUACGCUAAUACCGCAUACGACCUACGGGUGAAAGCAGGGGAUCUUCGGGCCUUGCGCGAUUGAAUGAGCCGAUGUCGGAUUAGCUAGUUGGCGGGGUAAAGGCCGACCAAGGCGACGAUCCGUAGCUGGUCUGAGAGGAGGAUCGGCCACACUGGAACUGAGACACGGUGCAGACUCCUACGGGAGGCAGCAGUGGGGAAUAUUGGACAAUGGGCGCAAGCCUGAUCCAGCCAUACCGCGUGGGUGAAGAAGGCCUUCGGGUUGUAAAGCCCUUUUGUUGGGAAAGAAAUCCAGCUGGCUAAUACCCGGUUGGGAUGACGGUACCCAAAGAAUAAGCACCGGCUAACUUCGUGCCAGCCGCCGCCUAA
RNAcentral lists this ribosomal RNA (505 nucleotides) under uncultured bacterium. RNAcentral describes it as "partial 16S ribosomal RNA". It matches the Rfam family "Bacterial small subunit ribosomal RNA", at positions 29 to 522 of the family's 1533-position model. The record is from RNAcentral.